GACGAACGCUGGCGGCGUGCUUAACACAUGCAAGUCGAACGGAAAGGCCCCUUUGGGGGUACUCGAGUGGCGAACGGGUGAGUAACACGUGAGUAACCUGCCCUUGACUUCGGGAUAACUUCAGGAAACUGGGGCUAAUACCGGAUAGGAAUCCUUGCUGCAUGGUGGGGGUUGGAAAGCUUCGGCGGUUUUGGAUGGACUCGCGGCUUAUCAGCUUGUUGGUGGGGUAGUGGCUUACCAAGGCUUUGACGGGUAGCCGGCCUGAGAGGGCGACCGGCCACAGUGGGAAUGAGAGAAGACCGGGACUCCUCCGGGAGGCAGCAGUGGGGAUGGUUGCACAAUGGGCGGAAGCCUGAGCCAGCAACGACGGGGGCGGGAUGAGGGCCGGCGGGUAGUAAACCGCUUACAGCAGGGGCAAUGCGUGUGGUGAGGGGACCUGCAGAAGAAUACCGCGCACACCACACC
This 465-nucleotide ribosomal RNA is filed under the name uncultured bacterium. Its description in RNAcentral is "partial 16S ribosomal RNA". It matches the Rfam family "Bacterial small subunit ribosomal RNA", at positions 28 to 509 of the family's 1533-position model. The record is from RNAcentral.